Molecule: RNA transcript, 2778 nt
Organism: Erinaceus europaeus (western European hedgehog)
Lineage: Eukaryota; Metazoa; Chordata; Mammalia; Eulipotyphla; Erinaceidae
Gene: SLC22A8
Gene name: solute carrier family 22 member 8
Exons: 14
Source: RefSeq, a predicted model, not a curated record
ACAAGGAUUUCAGCCACGCUGUCCACCAGCCCCACCAGAGGGAGCCAGGUCAAGCCAACCAGACCUCUCCUGGGCCCGGUGCCCUGCCUGCAGCUCUGGCGCCAUGACCUUCUCCGAGCUUCUGGACCACCUGGGCAGCAAGGGCCCCUUCCAGUUCCUGAACGUGUUUCUGCUGGGUCUCCCUGUCCUGGGCUUAGCCAACCACAACCUGCUGCAGAUCUUCACAGCGGCCACCCCCGCCCACCACUGCCACCCACCCCCCAACGCCUCCUUGGGGCCCUGGGUGCUCCCAACGGACCUGAAUGGGAAGCCAGAGAGCUGCCUGCGUUUUGCCUACCCGCCCAAUGCCAGCCUGCCCAACCACACCCAGGGGGCCACCGAGCCGUGCCUGGACGGCUGGGUUUACAACAUCAGCUCCGGGGAUUCCAUCGUGACUGAGUGGGAUUUGGUGUGCAGCUCCAACAAGCUGAAGGAGAUGGCCCAGUCGGUCUUCAUGGCGGGUAUACUGAUUGGGGGACUCGUGCUGGGAGACCUCUCUGACAGGUUUGGCCGCAAGCCCAUUCUGACCUGCAGCUACCUGCUGCUGGCUGCUGGAGGCUCAGGCGCUGCCUACAGCCCCACCCUCCCCACCUACAUGGCCUUCCGCUUCCUGUGCGGACUCAGCAUCUCGGGCAUUAGCCUGAGCACCACCAUCUUGACUGUCGAGUGGAUGUCCACCCAGAUGCGAGCCAUCAUGUCCACAAUGCUUGGUUACUUCUACACCGUCGGCCAGUUCAUUCUGCCUGGCCUGGCCUACGCCAUUCCCCAGUGGCGCUGGCUUCAGUUGACCGUGUCCAUUCCCUUCUUCGCCUUCUUCCUCCUGUCCUGGUGGAUACCAGAAUCCGUGCGCUGGUUGGUCCUGUCGGGAAAGUCCAUGAAGGCCCUGAAGAUGCUACAGUGGGUGGCUGCCAUCAAUGGCAAGAAGGAGGAAGGGGACAAGCUCAGCUUGGAGGAUCUCCGACACAUCCUGCAGAAGGAGAUCUCCUUGGCCAAGACCAAGUACGGCGUAGCAGACCUGCUCCGGACGCCCGUCCUACGCCGUGUGACCUUCUGUCUUUCCCUGGCCUGGUUUUCCACUGGUUUUGCCUACUACAGCUUGGCUCUUAGCGUGGGAGAAUUUGGAUUCAACAUCUACAUCCUCCAGUUCAUCUUUGGCGGAGUGGACAUCCCUGCCAAAUUCAUCACCAUCCUCUCCAUGAACCACGUGGGCCGCCCUAUCACCCUGGCCACUACUCUUCUCCUGGCAGGAGGGUCCAUCCUGGUUCUCAUCUUUGUGCCCUCAGACUUUCAGACCCCAAGGACAGUGCUGGCUGUGUUUGGGAAGGGAUGCCUGUCCAGCUCCUUUAGCUGCCUCUUUCUCUACACGAGCGAGCUAUACCCUACAGUCAUCCGGCAAACAGGCUUGGGCAUAACGACCCUGUGGGCCCGAGUGGGAAGCAUGACGGCCCCACUGGUGAAAAUCACAGGGGAGCUGCGGCCCUUCAUCCCCAAUGUCAUCUUUGUGACUGUCACCUUGCUGGGAGGGAGUGCUGCCUUCUUCCUCAUGGAGACCCUCAAUCGGCCUUUGCCAGAGUCAAUCGAAGACGUGGAAAAAUGGUUCCUGCAGGCAAAGGAACAAAAACAAGAAGUCACUGUGGAAAAUGCAUCCCAGAGGAUCCCUCUACAGCCCAUUGCGUCAGAACUGGACCCCAGCUAAGGAACAUCAGAGCUUCCAUCUGGCUUAGUGAAUUGUCAUCCAGUAUGGAUCAGCUCCCUCCAGCAAUGUCUUCAUGCUGAGCCAUGUUGUCGCUGGCCGCCGGCCCUGUCUGACCAAUAGCCUUUGAAUGAAUUUCUUAUUUCUGCACUGCCCAUGGAUGAGGGGCCCCAGGCUAUGAAUCAUUGAAGUUUGUGGCUCCGCUCCUUGCUGAGAAUGUUACUAGAGGUCCAGUGAACAGUUGGCAUCUGUCAGAUUUGUCCCUGGAGAGUAGAGGAAGCAUGGUGACUGGGAGAAAUACUUGGACAGGCAUCACCUGUGUGACUGUGUUCUCCUUUGCCAAGCAGGUCACAUAGAAACUCAUCCAAUCAGAGCUCAGCACUGCCACUAAAUGACCAGGAUCCAGGAACCAAGUGAUUGUCUUGGGAUUAUGACUGAAAAUAAAGUAAGUUUAUACUCCUAGCAGAAGCAAGUAAACAACCCAUGGACAGAGACACAAAACAAAGGGGGAAAUAUCAAUCAAAAUAAACAAGAAGGUGAAAAAACGAAGUCACUGUUAGAAUCAAUCAGUGUCAAAGAACUCAUCCAAGAUGGUGGCUUAGGAAGAAGACUCUAAGCUCUCCUCUCCCUCAGACACAGAGAAUCUACCUCUAUGGCCACCCCAUCAGCUGGGGUCCUAUUCAGGGAGUCCUGAAAUUCCCAGACAGGAUGGGCCUAGACCUCGAACAAAUCCCUCUCUCCAUUGUUACCGGUCAUCUCUAUCAGUAACAACACAAUAGACUCCUUUGUGAGCCCCCAUAGUACCUUGCCCUCAAUUUGGAUCAACAAUGGUAGAGAAUGUUCCAUCCUCUAAAGGAGGAUGCUACACCUGAGGAAGAUGGGUCCUGAUACUGGGACAGCUUGGAAUGUUUCAACUCAUGACCACAGAAUGUGAGCUCAGAUCUAGGGGGAUGCAGAGGUCACACAAGCUGAAUACAGGCCCCAGAUCACAUUAAAUCGAUGGGGUUUACAGUCAACAAUAUUUAUACCCCUUUCCCAUAUUAGGG